GACGAACGCUCGGCGGCGCGCCUAACACAUGCAAGUCGAACGAGAGAAGAGGAGCUUGCUCUUCAAAUCGAGUGGCGAACGGGUGAGUAACGCGUGAGGAACCUGCCUCAAAGAGGGGGACAACAGUUGGAAACGACUGCUAAUACCGCAUAAGCCCACGGCUCGGCAUCCAGCAGAGGGAAAAGGAGCAAUCCGCUUUGAGAUGGCCUCGCGUCCGAUUAGCUAGUUGGUGAGGUAACGGCCCACCAAGGCGACGAUCGGUAGCCGGACUGAGAGGUUGAACGGCCACAUUGGGACUGAGACACGGCCCAGACUCCUACGGGAGGCAGCAGUGGGGAAUAUUGCACAAUGGGGGAAACCCUGAUGCAGCGACGCCGCGUGGAGGAAGAAGGUCUUCGGAUUGUAAACUCCUGUUGUUGAGGAAGAUAAUGACGGUACUCAACAAGGAAGUGACGGCUAACUACGUGCCAGCAGCCGCGGUAAAACGUAGGUCACAAGCGUUGUCCGGAAUUACUGGGUGUAAAGGGAGCGCAGGCGGGAGAACAAGUUGGAAGUGAAAUCCAUGGGCUCAACCCAUGAACUGCUUUCAAAACUGUUUUUCUUGAGUAGUGCAGAGGUAGGCGGAAUUCCCGGUGUAGCGGUGGAAUGCGUAGAUAUCGGGAGGAACACCAGUGGCGAAGGCGGCCUACUGGGCACCAACUAACGCUGAGGCUCGAAAGUGUGGGUAGCAAACAGGAUUAGAUACCCUGGUAGUCCACACCGUAAACGAUGAUUACUAGGUGUUGGAGGAUUGACCCCUUCAGUGCCGCAGUUAACACAAUAAGUAAUCCACCUGGGGAGUACGACCGCAAGGUUGAAACUCAAAGGAAUUGACGGGGGCCCGCACAAGCAGUGGAGUAUGUGGUUUAAUUCGACGCAACGCGAAGAACCUUACCAAGUCUUGACAUCCCUUGACGAUGCUGGAAACAGUAUUUCUCUUCGGAGCAAGGAGACAGGUGGUGCAUGGUUGUCGUCAGCUCGUGUCGUGAGAUGUUGGGUUAAGUCCCGCAACGAGCGCAACCCUUAUGGUCAGUUACUACGCAAGAGGACUCUGGCCAGACUGCCGUUGACAAAACGGAGGAAGGUGGGGAGGACGUCAAAUCAUCAUGCCCUUUAUGACUUGGGCUACCCACGUACCCCAAGGGGGUCAAACAAAGAGAAGCAAGACCGGGAGGGGGAGCAAAAUUCAGAAACAACGUCCCAGUUCGGACUGCAGGCUGCAACUCGCCUGCAGGAAGUCGGAAUUGUUAGUAAUCGUGGAUCAGCAUGCCACGGUGAAUACGUUCCCGGGCCUU
This 1334-nucleotide ribosomal RNA is filed under the name uncultured bacterium. RNAcentral's name for it is "bacterial SSU rRNA". It matches the Rfam family "Bacterial small subunit ribosomal RNA", at positions 28 to 1382 of the family's 1533-position model. The record is from RNAcentral.